UGGGUGACCUGCCCUCAGCUCUGGGAUAAGCCCGAGAAAUUGGGUCUAAUACCGGAUAUGACUCCUCAUCGCGUGGUGGGGGGUGGAAAGCUUUAUUGUGGUUUGGAUGGACUCGCGGUCUAUCAGCUUGUUGGUGAGGUAAUGGCUCACCAAGGCGACGACGGGUAGCCGGCCUGAGAGGGUGACCGGCCACACUGGGACUGAGACACGGCCCAGACUCCUACGGGAGCAG
RNAcentral lists this ribosomal RNA (232 nucleotides) under uncultured bacterium. RNAcentral describes it as "partial 16S ribosomal RNA". It matches the Rfam family "Bacterial small subunit ribosomal RNA", at positions 118 to 347 of the family's 1533-position model. The record is from RNAcentral.